AGGAGACAAGUUCAUUUGGUUGAAUAUCGGUUUCCAAAACCGAAGGAGAGGGUUCAACUCCCUCGUUUCCUG
RNAcentral lists this transfer RNA (72 nucleotides) under Prasinococcus sp. CCMP1194. Its description in RNAcentral is "tRNA-Trp". It matches the Rfam family "tRNA". Rfam says of the family: Transfer RNA (tRNA) molecules are approximately 80 nucleotides in length. Their secondary structure includes four short double-helical elements and three loops (D, anti-codon, and T loops). Lineage: Eukaryota; Viridiplantae; Prasinodermophyta; Palmophyllophyceae; Prasinococcales; Prasinococcaceae. The record is from RNAcentral.